This 833-nucleotide long non-coding RNA is filed under the name Rattus norvegicus (Norway rat). RNAcentral's name for it is "long non-coding RNA NONRATT016465". Lineage: Eukaryota; Metazoa; Chordata; Mammalia; Rodentia; Muridae. The record is from RNAcentral.
GGGUUGGGUGGGGUGGGGGUGGGGUGGGGGCAGGGUUACCAGGACUCUGGGAGCCUCUGGUCCACAUACACCAAAGCUUUCCUUCCCUGCACUCCUGAAAUGAGAACCAGCCUUCUGAGAAUGCCAAGGCUUCCUCCUUUCCCAGUCAUCCCUGGGGUGAAAUCUGUUGGCUACACAUUUAGGUAGCUCGCCCUAAGACGGCACAAGGCAAAAACCGGAGUCGGAGUCUUAUGCGAAACCUGCGACGGUGAUGCUGGCGCCCGCGGCAGUGGCUGGCAGCUGUAACAGCGCUGGGCUGUGGGCGCUGGGACCCCGCGCGCGCCUGCGUGGCGUGCGUGCGGUUGCGGGGAACCUGUGUUCGCGCGCAGGAAGCGAACGCGGGCCGCACCGCUGCGGGUGCCACUGGCGCGCGGGAGAUUGUUUGCACACCGGAUGGUCUCUGCCAUUGCUUCAUUCCACACUGGGUGAAUUUCCAGAUUGCUUCCCCCUCCUCUGGAAGCUCUUCCUCCAAAACUCCGUCUGUGGGGCAGAUCGUGUUCCUUGGUGUGAGCCUUCUAAGUAGCAUAUGGCAAAAAUUUAGGCCAAGCUGUGAAGCCCCUGUGGUUAAGGACCUGUGCCUUCUGUACUUCUCUGCUGCUGUGGAUGGCCCCGGCUGUCUUGACUGCCAUUCCCAAUAGGAUGUCACUGAGAUCCCUCAAAUGGAGCCUCCUGCUGCUGUCCCUGCUGAGCUUCCUGGUGAUCUGGUACCUCAGCCUUCCCCACUACAAUGUGAUUGAGCGUGUGAACUGGAUGUACUUCUAUGAGUAUGAGCCAAUUUACAGACAAGACUUUCA